CGGAGGGUGCAAGCGUUAUCCGGAUUCACUGGGUUUAAAGGGUGCGUAGGCGGGCUUGUAAGUCCGUGGUGAAAUCUCUGAGCUUAACUCGGAAACUGCCAUGGAUACUAUGGGUCUUGAAUACUCGGGAGGUGAGCGGAAUAUGUCAUGUAGCGGUGAAAUGCUUAGAUAUGACAUAGAACACCAAUUGCGAAGGCAGCUUGCUACAGAGUUAUUGACGCUGAGGCACGAAAGCGUGGGGAUCAAACAGGAUU
Molecule: ribosomal RNA, 254 nt
Filed under: uncultured bacterium
Lineage: Bacteria
Description: partial 16S ribosomal RNA
Rfam family: Bacterial small subunit ribosomal RNA
Source: RNAcentral